This 467-nucleotide ribosomal RNA is filed under the name uncultured bacterium. Its description in RNAcentral is "partial 16S ribosomal RNA". It matches the Rfam family "Bacterial small subunit ribosomal RNA", at positions 28 to 506 of the family's 1533-position model. The record is from RNAcentral.
GACGAACGCUGGCGGCGUGCUUAACACAUGCAAGUCGAACGGAAAGGCCCUGCUUUUGUGGGGUGCUCGAGUGGCGAACGGGUGAGUAACACGUGAGUAGCCUGCCCUUGACUUUGGGAUAACUUCAGGAAACUGGGGCUAAUACCGGAUAGGAGCUCCUGCUGCAUGGUGGGGGUUGGAAAGUUUCGGCGGUUGGGGAUGGACUCGCGGCUUAUCAGCUUGUUGGUGGGGUAGUGGCUUACCAAGGCUUUGACGGGUAGCCGGCCUGAGAGGGUGACCGGCCACAUUGGGACUGAGAUACGGCCCAGACUCCUACGGGAGGCAGCAGUGGGGAAUAUUGCAUAAUGGGCGGAAGCCUGAUGCAGCAACGCCGCGUGCGGGAUGACGGCCUUCGGGUUGUAAACCGCUUUCGCCUGUGACGAAGCGUGAGUGACGGUAAUGGGGAAAGAAGCACCGGCUAACUACGU